GAUGAAGAACGUAGCGAAAUGCGAUAAGUAAUGUGAAUUGCAGAAUUCAGUGAAUCAUCGAAUCUUUGAACGCACAUUGCGCCCGCCAGUAUUCUGGCGGGCAUGCCUGUUCGAGCGUCAUUUCAACCAUCAAGCCCCAGGCUUGUGUUGGAGCCCUGCGGCUGCCGCAGCCUCCCAAAACCAGUGGCGGGCUCGCUAUCACACCGAGUGCAGUAGUUUACUCUUCGCUCAGGGCGUGUGGCGGGUGCUAGCCGUAAAACCCCCAACUUCUCAAGGUUGACCUCGGAUCAGGUAGGAAUCCCCGCUGAACUUAAGCAUAUCAAUAAGCGGAGGA
This 334-nucleotide unclassified non-coding RNA is filed under the name soil metagenome. RNAcentral's name for it is "partial contains 5.8S ribosomal RNA, internal transcribed spacer 2, and large subunit ribosomal RNA". The stretch from base 1 to 120 matches the Rfam family "5.8S ribosomal RNA", at positions 35 to 154 of the family's 154-position model. The record is from RNAcentral.